AGAGUUUGAUCCUGGCUCAGGACGAACGCUGGCGGCGUGCCUAACACAUGCAAGUCGAACGGAGAAUUCAAUAAGUCUACUUAAAGAAUUCUUAGUGGCGGACGGGUGAGUAACGCGUGGGUAACCUACCCAUAAAGCCGGGACAACCCUUGGAAACGAGGGCUAAUACCGGAUAAUCUUAAGAGUUGGCAUCAGCUUUUAAGGAAAGGUGGCCUCUGUAUAUGCUACCGAUUAUGGAUGGACCCGCGUCUGAUUAGCUAGUUGGUGGGGUAAAGGCCUACCAAGGCGACGAUCAGUAGCCGGCCUGAGAGGGUGAACGGCCACACUGGGACUGAGACACGGCCCAGACUCCUACGGGGGGCAGCAGUGGGGAAUCUUCCGCAAUGGACGAAAGUCUGACGGAGCAACGCCGCGUGUAUGAUGAAGGUCUUCGG
Molecule: ribosomal RNA, 434 nt
Filed under: uncultured bacterium
Lineage: Bacteria
Description: bacterial SSU rRNA
Rfam family: Bacterial small subunit ribosomal RNA
Source: RNAcentral